GUAAAGCACUUUCAGUAGGGAGGAAGGUAGUGUAGUUAACACCUGCAUUAUUUGACGUUACCUACAGAAGAAGCACCGGCUAACUCCGUGCCAGCAGCCGCGGUAAUACGGGAGGGUGCGAGCGUUAAUCGGAAUUACUGGGACGUAAAGCGCAUGCAGGCGGCCUGUUAAGUCAGAUGUAGAAAGGCCCGGGGACCUUUAACCGUACGGUAAUUGCUAUUUAGAAACUGGCAGGCUAGAGUCUUGUAGAGGGGGUAGGAAUUUCAGGUGUAGCGGUGAAAUGCGUAGAGAUCUGAAGGAAUACCAGUGGCGAAGGCGGCCCCCUGGACAAAGACUGACGCUCAGAUGCGAAAGCGUGGGGAGCAAACAGGAUUAGAUACCCUGGUAG
RNAcentral lists this ribosomal RNA (388 nucleotides) under uncultured bacterium. RNAcentral describes it as "bacterial SSU rRNA". It matches the Rfam family "Bacterial small subunit ribosomal RNA", at positions 425 to 793 of the family's 1533-position model. The record is from RNAcentral.